CAAUUUUUUACCUGCACCGACCUUAACCUCGCCGGCUCAACCCCACUAACUAUUGGUGGGGGCCGGGCUGCGGUAAGUUUGCACCGGUGGGAGAAAAAAACAAGAAAAGAAACGUCUUCUUUUGCAAAAAUUGGCAUGAACUGAACUGAAGCCCCUUUGCCUCUGAUACCAGUGAGCAAAAAUGGCUUCAACCCAUCUUCUUCCUCAGAGUUCAAUUCUCUACAAUUCUUUCAACAAUUCAACCAAAAGAAGUAAUUUUUCUGCAUUUCGGAUACAUGGGUCUCCUUCAAUUACCCAAAAGUUCAAUCUUCGAAAGCACCCAUCUUUCAAAACCAUGUGUUCUAUUGACCCACAAUCUGAAAGAAAAAAACAAGUAGAGAUAGUAUUUGACCCAGAAGAAAGAUUUAACAAAUUAGCUGAUAAAGUGGAUAAGGAAGCUGGUCUUUCAAGGCUCACUCUUUUUUCACCUUGUAAGGUGAAUGUGUUUUUGAGAAUAACUGGAAAAAGAGACGAUGGAUACCAUGAUUUAGCAUCUCUAUUUCAUGUAAUAAGUUUGGGGGAUAAAAUUAAGUUCUCUUUGUCACCUUCAAAGAUCAAGGAUAGUCUAUCAACAAAUGUGGGUGGAGUUCCUCUUGAUGAUAGAAAUCUGAUAAUCAAAGCCCUAAAGUUGUAUCGGCAAAAGACUGGCAGCAACAAGUAUUUUUGGAUUCAUCUUGAUAAGAAGGUUCCUACAGGAGCCGGGCUUGGUGGAGGAAGUAGCAAUGCUGCUACUGCACUUUGGGCAGCGAAUCAAUUCAGUGGUGGGAUUGCGACAGAGAAGGAACUUCAAGAAUGGUCAAGUGAAAUAGGUUCUGAUAUUCCUUUUUUCUUCUCUCGGGGAGCAGCAUAUUGUACUGGCAGGGGUGAGGUAGUUAAAGAUAUUCCACCACCUAUACCUUUGGACACUCCAAUGGUCCUAAUAAAGCCUCAAGAAGCAUGCUCCACUGCUCAUGUUUACAAGACCUUUCGUUUGGAUCAAACUCGCGAGGUUGAUCCGUUAUCUUUGCUGGAGAAAAUUUCGAAAGAAGGAAUCUCUCAAGAUGUCUGUAUCAAUGAUUUGGAGUCCCCUGCAUUUGAAGUGCUUCCAGGUCUGCGAAGAUUAAAACAGCGCAUAAUUGCAGCCAGCCGUGGACAGUAUGAUGCUGUUUUUAUGUCUGGAAGUGGAAGCACUAUUGUUGGGAUUGGUUCUCCUGAUCCACCACAGUUUAUCUACGAUGAUGAAGCAUACAAGGAUGUCUUCUUAUCUGAGGCUACCUUCAUCACCCGAGAAGAGAACCAAUGGUAUUCAGAACCUUCUUCAAGUAGUUCUGCCGACUCAGUCGCUGAGUUUUCCCGUCCACUUAGUGAUGGAAUUACACAGUAAACGUGAUGAUUUUACAGAAAUACCGGGACAUGUCUUCUUGCUGCUUCAGUUAACUUUGAGGUGAACUUUCCGAAAGAAAGAAUAUUUCAUUGUAUAGAGCAAACGGAAAACCUAUCAUUUUACUGUUGAAUGAAGGUUAUGCUUUUGGAGAUCUCCUUGAGGCUCUGAUGAAGGAUGUCUAAUGAAUAACAGAAUUAGACAAGAAAAGUAAAUAACUUCAGAUGACCGCAAACAACGUUAGUGAAACAAACGAGUGUGCUUAGUUGGCAAAAGAUGAAUCUCUCAAAAGAUUGAAAGUGACAAGUAAAAUGACAGGCAUUAUUAUGUAGUUGAAUGUUGAGUAUUCAAUCUCCAUCAUCAAUACUUGUGGACAAUCCGUUUGCUAUGUUCAAACUUGAGGUGCUCGUGGUGGAUGAAUUCCUCAGCUUCAGCAUCAACAUCUUCUUCUUUUUGCUUCUUUUGAGCACCAUUCUUAUGGUUUCUCUGUAUGAACUUUUCAGCAUCAGAAUCAAUAUUGUCUGCAUAUUUGAUAUACCCACUUUGAUCCUUUGGAGGUUCAUCUUUGUGCUUCUUCUUCGGCAUUGAGAAUAGGUGCGCGAAAUAAGAAUCACUUUCAUUCAAGUUAUUCAUUUUGGUAGCUGAUGAUUUUGUUGUAGAUGAUGAUUUUGUUUUUGAGUCACAGACUUCUAAAUCUAAUUAUAUGAAGUAAUUUUUAGAUGACUGACUGUGCUCCCUUUGAACAGAAUCGUAUUCCUUUCUGACUUUUUUUGCAUGUGCAACUGAGUUUCUAUUGCUGAUGGCAGCUGUGAUCGAUGCAGAUCUUGUUUAAGAAUUGGUUUAUUAUCUGAAGAUUCUUUGAUGCAAGACUUUUGUUUUAUGUUCUUUUGUUUUAGGAACAUUAUUAUUACCUUUCCCCUUGUUCAUCAACUGAUAAACUUUUGUGCAUUAGCUGAUUUAUUUGAAUUCGCUUGUGGAUCUUUCACUAUU
Molecule: RNA transcript, 2389 nt
Organism: Spinacia oleracea (spinach)
Lineage: Eukaryota; Viridiplantae; Streptophyta; Magnoliopsida; Caryophyllales; Amaranthaceae
Gene name: 4-diphosphocytidyl-2-C-methyl-D-erythritol kinase, chloroplastic
Exons: 13
Source: RefSeq, a predicted model, not a curated record